CUGGGAUAUUAUUAAAAAGUUAAUCCUGUUUAACUGGUGUUCUUAAAAAUUUAUCCAUAAUUACACAAAUAAGUUCAACAAACAUUAUAAAAAUGAAGAAGGCAUGUCAUGUCUGAAAGAUGAAACUCAUAAUUGACAAUCGAUAAUUGAGGGUUUCUGGCUUGAGAGAGGGGGCAGACUCUCCAGUCACCAUCGUCCUUGUCAUUGUCCAAAUCAACAUAAUCCCAUCCAAUCCCUUGUUCACACAGAUUCAUCACUUCAACAAAAUUCCACAUCAGGACCGCCACCCCCGACUAGAGAGCUUGCUUGCGUAUGUCAACUGUGCAGCAACAGAACAAAUGUGAAUAGUUGGUUUUAGUACUUAGUAUUAUCCCAACAUGUAAGUUAUCACUAAACCAAUUCUAGGUCAAAACACAUCAGUAUCAUAAUAGCCAUAGUAAUGAAAUGUUUUUUUCCUGUUUUGGACAAGGAGGUUUAGCUUGAACAAUCUGAAUCCAUAGUGUGUUCUAGUAUAGAGUGGUAUCCAAAAACUUGCUAGACAGCUAAUCAUCAAUGAAAAGAGAACAUCAACUGACUCCUUAAUCAGAACUUCUGCGAAUCACCUUUCACUGCAGAGGUAGACAGAGACAAAGAUACAAACUUAUGAGUGGAUGCAAGAACGCCGAUAUUGGUUGACUAACACUCUGCUCUUCUUGUCAGUUAUGCAGCAAAUGUUCCUGCACAGAACUCCCAAAAUGACACAAUCAUCAGUCCAUUGCAUAUAACUUGGAAUUGUAGCCUCACAGAAAUACCAAGGCAUGUUUGGUUAGCAGAGAAGACCCCGUUUUCUUGGACAUCCAGUUCCAUGUUCGCAACUAACAACUUUAGCAAACCCCUCCAAAAGUUAGAGACUUUUAUCAUUUUUCUGAGACUCCAGCAGAAGACAAUGAGACAUUGUUUCCCGUGAUGUAUGAUGAUCUUAUAUACUUAAUAACAUUGUCACUGUUAUACAAUGAGCAGAGGAGCUCUGAUGGUUUGCUGAUGAUAUUAGUCAACAACGCAAUGCAGGUUUAGAUAUAAGUCAUACAAGCAAACAUUUGAUGCAGGGUAAUGUAACCCGAAGCAUUCAACUGAAAAUCUGCAAAGCAUCAUCAAUCCCUCGGCUUUUCGCCUAAAUUCCACCUGGCAUGUGAAACUAUGAGCAAAUGGUUCCUCAACCUCUACAAGGAGGGAGCACCAUGCUCUUGUCAAACUGUUUCACGUACAUUUUCAGAUUACUAAACAUUGCUCGUCACCGGGAUAUUUACAAUACGAGUAAAAAAAAGCAAAAUUGGUUUUUUUAUGAAAAGAUGCCUGCUGAGUGUUUCGACGAAAUGACACAAAGAAACCCACAUAAAAAAGUAACCACUGAGUGAAAAACCCAGAUGGAACUAAAACAAUCCUUGCCGUAAUCAUGGCAAUCAAACGAAUAGUGAAGUAAAUUGUUCAUCAUUUCACUCUCCUAGUCCCAGCGGGAAUUCAUACUUCAACCAAAUGUGGUAUAGCUAGCCCCAAACUUUGAAAGAACAAUGAUUUCAAACAGGAAAGCAGAAAGACAAUGCGGUAAAAUGUUAUUGAACAGAAUGGAUCAGAAACACCUGGAAGUUCUUCACGCGACUCUGUUUAUCACAUCAAAAAAUAAAUAAAUGAAGGGAACCAAGGCGGCGGAAAACGUAGAGGGAGAAUUACGGUCUUCAAAACCCUAAGUAU
Molecule: long non-coding RNA, 1728 nt
Filed under: Linum usitatissimum (flax)
Lineage: Eukaryota; Viridiplantae; Streptophyta; Magnoliopsida; Malpighiales; Linaceae
Description: long non-coding RNA (LUSI_LNC003847)
Source: RNAcentral